GACGAACGCUGGCGGCGUGCCUAAUACAUGCAAGUUGAGCGCUGAAGGUUGGUACUUGUACCAACUGGAUGAGCAGCGAACGGGUGAGUAACGCGUGGGGAAUCUGCUUUUGAGCGGGGGACAACAUUUGGAAACGAAUGCUACUACCGCAUAAAAACUUUAAACACAAGUUUUAAGUUUGAAAGAUGCAAUUGCAUCACUUAAGGAUGAUCCCGCGUUGUUUUAGCUAGUUGGUGAGGUAAAGGCUCACCAAGGCGAUGAUACAUAGCCGACCUGAGAGGGUGAGCGGCCACAUUGAGACUGAGACACGGCCCAAACUCCUACGGGAGGCAGCAGUAGGGAAGCUUCGGCAAUGGACGAAAGUCUGACCGAGCAACGCCGCGUGAGUGAAGAAGGUUUUCGGAUCGUAAAACUCUGUUGGUAGAGAAGAACGUUGGUGAGAGUGGAAAGCUCAUCAAGUGACGGUAACUACCCAGAAAGGGACGGCUAACUACGUG
Molecule: ribosomal RNA, 497 nt
Filed under: uncultured bacterium
Lineage: Bacteria
Description: partial 16S ribosomal RNA
Rfam family: Bacterial small subunit ribosomal RNA
Source: RNAcentral